RNAcentral lists this ribosomal RNA (253 nucleotides) under uncultured bacterium. RNAcentral's name for it is "partial 16S ribosomal RNA". It matches the Rfam family "Bacterial small subunit ribosomal RNA", at positions 524 to 776 of the family's 1533-position model. The record is from RNAcentral.
UACGUAGGGGACUAUCGGUGCUCGGAAUGACUGGGCGUAAAGGGCGCGUAGGCGGCUUACAUAGGUAGGCGUGAGAUUCCUGGGCUCAACAUGGGGACUGCGUCUAAUACAUGUAGGCUUGAGUGUGAAAGAGGGUCGUGGAAGUUCCAGUGUAGAGGUGAAAUUCGUAGAUAUUGGAAAGAACACCGGUUGCGCAGGCGGCGACGUGGUCCUUGACUGACGCUGAGGCGCGAAAGCGUGGGGAGCAAACAGG